This 402-nucleotide ribosomal RNA is filed under the name Verrucomicrobiota bacterium. RNAcentral describes it as "Verrucomicrobia bacterium partial 16S ribosomal RNA". It matches the Rfam family "Bacterial small subunit ribosomal RNA", at positions 355 to 776 of the family's 1533-position model. The record is from RNAcentral. Lineage: Bacteria; Pseudomonadati; Verrucomicrobiota.
UGGGGAAUUUUGCACAAUGGGGGAAACCCUGAUGCAGCGACGCCGCGUGAUUUAGAAGGCCUUCGGGUUGUAAAAAUCUUUUGUAUGGGAAGAAAAUGACAGUACCAUACGAAUAAGGACCGGAUAAUUACGUGCCAGCAGCCGCGGUAAUACGUAAGGUCCGAGCGUUGUCCGGAAUCAUUGGGCGUAAAGGGUACGUAGGCGGAUAAGCAAGUUAGAAGUGAAAUCCUAUAGCUCAACUAUAGUAAGCUUUUAAAACUGCUCAUCUUGAGGUAUGGAAGGGAAAGUGGAAUUCCUAGUGUAGCGGUGAAAUGCGCAGAUAUUAGGAGGAAUACCGGUGGCGAAGGCGACUUUCUGGCCAUAUACUGACGCUGAGGUACGAAAGCGUGGGUAGCAAACAGG